Molecule: ribosomal RNA, 1437 nt
Filed under: uncultured marine microorganism
Description: bacterial SSU rRNA
Rfam family: Bacterial small subunit ribosomal RNA
Source: RNAcentral
AGGGUUUGAUUAUGGCUCAGAACGUACGCUGGCGGCACGCCUAACACAUGCAAGUCGAACGAAGUAGCAAUACUUAGCGGCAGACGGGUGAGUAACAUGUAGGUAUCUGCCCUUUGGCCUGGAAUAACACGAGGAAACUUGUGCUAAUACCGGAUAAGUCUUUACGGAGAAAGCUUUAUGCACCAUUGGAUGAGCCUGCACUGGAUUAGUUUGUUGGUAGGGUAAUGGCCUACCAAGACUGUGAUCAAUAGCUGAUUUGAGAGGAUGAUCAGCCACAUUGGGACUGAGACACGGCCCAAACUCCUACGGGAGGCAGCAGUGGGGAAUCUUGCACAAUGGAGGAAACUCUGAUGCAGCGAUGCCGCGUGAGUGAAGAAGGCCCUUGGGUUGUAAAGCUCUUUCGUCGGGGAAGAAAAUGACUGUACCCGAAUAAGAAGGUCCGGCUAACUUCGUGCCAGCAGCCGCGGUAAUACGAAGGGACCUAGCGUAGUUCGGAAUUACUGGGCUUAAAGAGUUCGUAGGUGGUUGAAAAAGUUGGUGGUGAAAUCCCAGAGCUUAACUCUGGAACUGCCAUCAAAACUUUUCAGCUUGAGUUUGAUAGAGGAAAGCAGAAUUUCUAGUGUAGGAGGUGAAAGUUCGUAGAUAUUAGAAAGAAUACCAAUUGCGAAGGCAGCUUUCUGGAUCAUUACUGACACUGAGAACGAAAGCAUGGGUAGCGAAGAGGAUUAGAUACCCUCGUAGUCCAUGCCGUAAACGAUGUGUGUUAGACGUUGGAAAUUUAUUUUCAGUGUCGCAGCGAAAGCGAUAAACACACCGCCUGGGGAGUACGACCGCAAGGUUAAAACUCAAAUGAAUUGACGGGGGCCCGCACAAGUAGUGGAGCACGUGGUUUAAUUCGAAGAUACGCGCAGAACCUUACCAACACUUGACAUGUUCGUCGCGACUUUAAGAGAUUAAAGUUUUCGGUUCGGCCGGACGAAACACAGGUGCUGCAUGGCUGUCGUCAGCUCGUGUCGUGAGAUGUUGGGUUAAGUCCCGCAACGAGCGCAACCCUCACUUUUAGUUGCCAUCAUUUAGUUGGGCACUCUGAAAGAACUGCCAGUGAUAAGCUGGAGGAAGGUGAGGAUGACGUCAAGUCCUCAUGGCCCUUACGUGUUGGGCUACACACGUGCUACAAUGGUAUCUACAACAGGAAGCAAGACGGCGACGUUAAGCAAAUCCUUAAAAGAUACCUCAGUUCGGAUUGCACUCUGCAACUCGAGUGCAUGAAGCUGGAAUUACUAGUAAUCGUGGAUCAGCGUGCCACGGUGAAUGCGUUCCCGGGUCUUGUACACACCGCCCGUCACACCAUGGGAGUUGGUUCUACCUUAAGGCAAGGUUUAAUACCCUUGACCACGGUAUAGUCAGCGACUGGGGUGAAGUCGUAACAAGGUAACC